ACGCUCGACACCUACUGGAGGCAGCAGUGGGGAAUAUUGCACAAUGGGGGAAACCCUGAUGCAGCGACGCCGCGUGAGCGAAGAAGUAUUUCGGUAUGUAAAGCUCUAUCAGCAGGGAAGAAAGUGACGGUACCUGACUAAGAAGCCCCGGCUAACUACGUGUCAGCAGCCGCGGUAAUCUGAGCGGGCUGGCAAGGC
Molecule: ribosomal RNA, 198 nt
Filed under: uncultured bacterium
Lineage: Bacteria
Description: partial 16S ribosomal RNA
Rfam family: Bacterial small subunit ribosomal RNA
Source: RNAcentral